CAACAAUUUAAAAAAAUUACAAAGCACAAACACAUACCACUUUUACAUGGAAAAUAUGGCCUGUUCAAAUUUUAAAAAAUUGACACAAACCAUCACCAAGGAAGCCCAGAUAUUGGACUUACUAGAUAAGGUCUUGUUGUUGAGAACAGAAUAUCUUAAUAUUAUAAUGUGAUAGCUCUGGAAAUCGAAUUCUCCACCUUCCUCAGCAUUUACUUUUCACUGUUUGUCUGUAAUCAUCUUUUGACCCAGUAACUUUCCCAUCCCUCUUGCCCAGAGACCCGAUCCCCUGUCAGGUGUGCCCCUGGUGCUCAGCGAGGGUGUGGACCGGGGCUGCCUUGCCUGACAGGCACGCAGACCUCGCCUGCCUCCUUUGGUCCUCUCCUCGAAGCUCUGCACUGUGAUUCGCAUUCUGAGCACCGGGAUCAGCCAAAGAUGAACCCUAAGGUCUCUCCAGGACUUUUCUGCGCAUGAAUCUCGUCAUGGGUGUGGGUGUGGCUUUGCAAAUUCUCCUGGAUACACCUGCACUUUUGAAUGCCCUGAGUCUCCAAAGAAAUUCUCUCCCUGAUCUUUUCUCCCACUGCGUGGGUCAUCUGUCGGGUCUCAGUCUUGCUACAGGUUGUUUCCCGCCAUCCAAUGCGCCAAGUAAGUUCCAAAUUAGGCACAACAGAUGAAGGCACCGGCCUCUGUCCUCCAGGCGGCUCGCAGGGACUGGGAGUGAGGCCCCUGCUCCCUCAGCCCUGGCUGCUGUCUCCAGGGUGGGUGGGUGAGGUGAGAGUGGCCUUGGCCUCCCCGCUGUUUUGAAGUUGCUGUCUCGGGGCCGGGGAUUUAGCUCAGUGGUUCCAGCACCUGCCUCACAAUCGCAAGGUCCCCCGAGUUCGAUCUCCGGUACAAAAAAAAAAACAAAAAUGAAGUUGCUGUCUCUUCGCUCACAGUUUCUUAGUUGCUGUGUUCCAGAGUUCUGACAAAGUUAAUUCUGGUCGCUCUGGUUGGCCCUAGAUGUUUCUCUUGGUAGAUGGAGCUCAGAGCUGCCUGCCGGACCAUUUUGAUGGCACUGCCUGAAGUGACCCUUCCAAAGCCCGCUUCUCACCUUGGGAUCUAUUUUCCCACUGAUAUUAAUAUGGCUAAGCCAGCAUAUGUUGGUUAAUAUCAUUGUGGUAUAACUUUUCCCAUUCCUUUUCUACCUUUUUGCACUUGUGUUUUAAUGAUUCUUAUAAAAAGUAUACAAGUGACUUUACAUGUCUCAGCCUAACAAUUUCUGUCUUCACUGAAGCAUUUAAUUCUUUUACAUACAAUGUGAUGCUUCUCUGUCUGAUUUUGACUUUAUACUCCUUAUGGAGCUUUCUAAUUGUCUCUCAUCUUUGCGUUUGUUUCUGCCCUUUUGUGUUAUAUUUUAUCAUUCUAUUCUUUUUUCUAUACUAAUUUUAAAGUAACAAUCUAUUUAUGUAAUUUCAGCUGUUACCCUAGAAAUUAAAAGAUACAAGCUCAGUACAUUACAGGCAACAGAAGACCUAUAGCAUUUAUCCUAGCACCAGUUAAUUUAUCAAAUUCAUUUUCUUUAUCUACUGCAAAUUAUUUUUACAAGUCAAAGAUUAUUUACUUAGAGUUAAUUAUUUCCAACUCACACAGUACACAUCCAUGUUGGGAGCUGUCAAAGUUCAAAAAUAUCCAAAGUCCAGAGGAAAAUAUUUUAAAUGGAAGAAAAAUCUUGGUCACCUUCCAGACUUUUUGCCAAGAAAAGGAUCAAAUUAACACAGCUAUCAACGUUCUAGCGCUGCUGUAACAAAACGCCAAGGACAAGGUGACUGCCUGCUGCCCGAGGUCCAGGAGGGCGGCGUCCACAGCCUCUCUGCCUCAUGGACCUUCGGUGUGCCUGUGUCCUGCCCUUUUCAAAACAGCAGUCAGCUGAAUUCAGACCCCUAACCCGAGAAGGCCUGGUCCUAGCUGAAUCGCCUGUUUACUAUCUGUGGUGGUUAAGGUCAUUCUAAGUGGGAACGCCCAGCUGAGCCGAGUCACCCACCUGGGUGAGGACUGUUGCCAAGGGCAUACAGGAGAAUGGGCGGGAAGGUGCUGCCAUUGAUCUUCCUGGAGAAGCUGGCUGUGGCUGGUUUUCCUGAAACUAAGUCAGCUGUUCUCGAAGGAGGAGGAGGAGGAGCCGGGUCCUUGCGCUGUCGCUGGGAUGGCUGCUGUUCUCUUCCAGGAGUGCUGGUCUUCACCGUGCGCACACGAGCCUCAGCCUGUGUACUGACCCCUCGCCCCGCAGGUGCAGACUUUCCAGCUUCACCACGGGCACCCGGCAUUCCCAGUCGACUCUCUGUAUGGACUUGCCUGUGACGUUGCCCUGGGCCCCACGCCUCUGAGUGGUCUCAGCAACAGCACCUGUCUCCAAACACAGCCACAUUCAGCGUUGGUGCCAGGUAAUGUGGCAGAGCAAACCUGCGGCAUCACCUGGAGGGAGCAAAGAGAGAGGAGGACUGGGGAUCUGGAUCUCCUCACCCGCUCUUAGCCAAAAGGCUGGGCCUCCACCAAGCCACGUCCUCGAAGAGCUGCAGGCCUCCUGCCAGGCCCCUCCUUUGGGUCCACAGCACCUCCCAUAGCAGCGCCCUGGCACCUGCAGAGACCACAGGACUCCGAGGGUAGCAAAUGUCUAUGCAAACCUGCAGCUGGCAUCAGCCUCAAUGGUGAAAGGCUAAAUGCUUUCCUUAAAAUAGGGAACAAGGGGCGAAUCUGCUCACACCACCGCUAUUUAAUGUAGUAUAAGUAGGGGCCAACAGCGUAGGCAAAGAAAGCAAAAAACGCCCAGAGCAGAAAUGACUGUUCCUAUUUGCAGACGACAUAAUAACUGAAGAAAUGUCUCACAAGAAAUUUAUAAAAAACAAAAAACCAAAACACUCCUAAAAAUAAAUUCAUCCUUCACAAAAUAGAAAUACAAUUGAUUUUUGUAUAUUAUCUUCUAUCCGCUAUGAAAGAACACAAACACUGAAAUUUAAUAUGUCAUCUGCCAUUAUUUAACAAAAAUUGAACACUUAUGUGUAAAUCUAACAAAACAUGCACUAGAUUUGCUUGCCGAAAAGGACACAACACCAAUGAAGUGAAUGAGAAAAGAUCUGAGUAAAUGGAGAGGACACGGGCUUGUGACUGGGUAGAUGCAACCUAAUAAAGAUCUGACUCUCUCCAAAUGGCAAGAUCGGUGCAAUUUCUAUUAAAAUCCUAGCAAGGAUUCUGUAGGUAUUAGUUAUUCAAAACUUAUAUGAGAAAGCAAAAGAAUCACUAAGAUGAAUUUGAAAAAGAAGAAUGAAGCCAGAGUAAUCGGUCUGCCCAAUUCCAAGACUUUUUUUUUUUAACCAAGGUAAGGGAGCAACUCAGCUGUGGAGAGAGAGCCUUUCCCACACACGGCCACCCACAGGCCAACAAGCGACUCUCAAGCUUCACAUCUUAUUCAAACAUUAUUUCAAAGGAGGACGCAGACUUAAGUAUAAAAUAACAUCACCACCACCCCCGUGUUCAGAAAAGAGGAGAAAAUCUGUGGUUUGUGGAAUGAGGCAAGAAGUUCUUAGACUGGACAUGAAAAGCAUGAUCCAUAAAAGGAAAAAUUGGUAAGUUGGACUGAAUCAAAACUUACAACUUUUGUUCUGCAAAAGACCAUGGCAGGAGGACUAACUAUAGUUAUAAUAAUUUGUUAUGGAAUACACAAUAUAAAUAGACAGAAAACACAAAAUCAGUGCAUAAAAUGUGGGGUGGGGAAGAAGUAAAAAUGUAGUCUUUGUAUGCAUUCAAAGUCAAGCUGUUGCUAGCUUAAAUUAGAAUAUUAUAACUAUACAUGUUUUAUGUAAGCCUCAUGAUAACCGCAAAGAAAAAAUCCUCUAGUAGGUACACAAAAAAUAAAGAGAAUGAAAUCAAAUCAUACCAGCACAAAAAUGGAACAAAUCAUAAAGGAAGACAGCAAGACCGGUAGAAAGGAAAAAGAAACCACAAAACAGUUGGCAAUAGUAAGUCAUGACCUGUCAAUAAUUCCUUUAAAUAUAGAUAACAUCUCUCAUCAAAAGAUAGAGUGGCCAAAUGGAUUUUUUAAAAUCCAAGAAUAUGCUGCCAAUAAGAGACUCAGUUUGCCUUAAGGAUACACAUGGGCCAAAGGGAAGGAAUGGGAAAAGCUAUUCCAGGCACAUGGAACCUAAAACCAGUCAAGGAUGGUUGUAUUUAUAUCAGACAAAACCAAUUUUAAGUUAAAAAAAAUUGUAAAAGGAGACAAGGAAGGCCACCAUAUAUUGAUAAGGGGGUCAAUUCAUCAAGAGCACAUAACAACCCUAAAUAUUUAUGUGCCAUGUUCGGAAAUUUAAAAGAAUUCUAAAAUAAUAAGGGACUCGGACUCUCUAAUAGCAAGAACACAAGCAAAACUCCCAAGAACUCUGAUUUUAAAAUGAGUGAAGGACCUGAAAAGACAUUCCUUAGGAGACAUACAAGUGGCCAGAGGAGGUAUGAAAAAAGUGCUCAGCAGGGUAACCACAGGGAAGCGCAGCCCAGACCCACGGGGAGACACGGUCCCUUGUCACCGCGGUCGUCGCUGAAUGGCUGUUCUGUAAUGACGGCAAAUCACUGCCAGCGGGUGUGGAGAGAGGAGCAUCCCUCACUGCCAGGGGGAGCAAGCCCAUGCGGCUGUGCAGAGGACCAAGGGAAGACCCCUGCAAACAUCAACCAUGGAGCCAGCAUGCAGCCGGCACCGCUGAGCACGCACGUGAAGGAAUGGAGGUGUCCGUCCACUGCAGCCCUGCUCGUGCUGCUAAGCGAGGAAGCCAUCUGUGCAGAUGUGUGGAUAAAGGAAAUGCGCUGCAUGGACACAACACAGUACUGUUCACUCUUUACAAUGAAAAGGAAAUCCAGUCAUCCGCAACAUGGACAGCCUGGAGGACACCGUGCUGAGUGACACAAGCCAGACGAGACAAGAAAAGCAGGUACUGCAUGUGGCACUCACGCCCAGACUCUGCCCUGUCCUCCUCACCAAGCACAGAGCAGGACACAGAGGCACGGGCCCACCGUGACAGCUUAGAGCUCUCUCUCAGACACGACGGUCGGAGAUCCGCAGCACGGCAAGGAGUGGAUUUCACAACUCCUGAAAGAGUCCAUGUGCAACAUCCUCCCCAGCACGCAGAGUGUGAGGAGACUGUGACCCUAGUUCGAUUUGAUCAUUCCACAGCGUAAACACACAUCGAAGGGUCACGCUGCACUCACACACGCAU
RNAcentral lists this long non-coding RNA (5231 nucleotides) under Heterocephalus glaber (naked mole-rat). Its description in RNAcentral is "lncRNA (ENSHGLG00000035057.1)". Lineage: Eukaryota; Metazoa; Chordata; Mammalia; Rodentia; Bathyergidae. The record is from RNAcentral.